RNAcentral lists this transfer RNA (71 nucleotides) under Marmota monax (woodchuck). RNAcentral describes it as "tRNA.Ala". Lineage: Eukaryota; Metazoa; Chordata; Mammalia; Rodentia; Sciuridae. The record is from RNAcentral.
GGGGUUGUGGCUCAGUGGUACAUCACUUGCUUAGCAUGUAUGAGGCACUGGGUUCAAUUCUCAGCACCACA